UACGUAGGGUGCGAGCGUUGUCCGGAAUUACUGGGCGUAAAGAGCUCGUAGGUGGUUUGUCGCGUUGUCCGUGAAAACUCACAGCUUAACUGUGGGCGUGCGGGCGAUACGGGCAGACUGGAGUACUGCAGGGGAGACUGGAAUUCCUGGUGUAGCGGUGGAAUGCGCAGAUAUCAGGAGGAACAUCCGUGGCGAAGGCGGCUCUCUGGGACGGUACUGACGCUGAGACGCGAAAGCGUGGGGAGCAAACAGG
This 253-nucleotide ribosomal RNA is filed under the name uncultured bacterium. RNAcentral's name for it is "partial 16S ribosomal RNA". It matches the Rfam family "Bacterial small subunit ribosomal RNA", at positions 524 to 776 of the family's 1533-position model. The record is from RNAcentral.